GGGAAGUACUGGAGCAAGUCAUGUAGCUGAUGUAAGCACAAGCCCAUAGGUCCUGAAGGAGUUGGUGUGGAGCUACUGGGUACUCAGCAAAGGACCCAUGCAGGACAUGAGGCUGGUGAUCUCUCUUGCUUCACUCUAUCUCAAUCCCUGCUGAUGCCACAGGUUCACGUGGAGAACUGGACAAACACUGGUAUGAGAGCAGCCCCCGUUUAUUGGUGGAGGAGACAUUCCAAGAUGCUCACUGAAUGCUGGAAACCAUAUUCAACUGUGGAUAUGCUAUAUUCAUACCUGGGAUACUGUCUAAUUUAUAUAUU
This 314-nucleotide long non-coding RNA is filed under the name Mus musculus (house mouse). Its description in RNAcentral is "lincRNA-EC91". Lineage: Eukaryota; Metazoa; Chordata; Mammalia; Rodentia; Muridae. The record is from RNAcentral.